CGGGUGCACUGAUCCGGCCGGGCCUUUCCCUCUGUGGAACCCCAUGGCCUUCACUGGCUGUGCGGGGGAAACAGGACUUUUACUGUGAAAAAAUUAGAGUGCUCCAGGCAGGCCUAUGCUCGAAUACAUUAGCAUGGAAUAAUAGAAUAGGACGCGUGGUUCUAUUUUGUUGGUUUCUAGGACCGCCGUAAUGAUUAAUAGGGACAGUCGGGGGCAUCAGUAUUCAAUUGUCAGAGGUGAAAUUCUUGGAUCUAUUGAAGACUAACUACUGCAAAAGCAUUUGCCAAGGAUGUUUUCAUUGAUAAGGAACGAAAGUUAGGGGAUCGAAGACGAUCAGGUACCGUCGUAGUCUUAACUAUAAACUAUGCCGACUAGGGAUCGGACGAUGUUAUUUCUUGACGCGUUCGGCACCUUUCGAGAAAUCAAAGUGCUUGGGCUCCAGGGGGAGUAUGGUCGCAAGGCUGAAACUUAAAGAAAUUGACGGAAGGGCACCACCAGGGGUGGAACCUGCGGCUUAAUUUGACUCAACACGGGGAAACUCACCAGGUCCAGACACAGUGAGGAUUGACAGAUUGAGAGCUCUUUCUUGAUUCUGUGGGUGGUGGUGCAUGGCCGUUCUUAGUUGGUGGAGUGAUUUGUCUGGUGAAAGGAAUUUGCCAGUAAAAGAUGCACUUGUGUGGAUAUAGAUGUUCACACAGGUUACUAGCAUCUAGUCUACACUCUUUG
This 726-nucleotide ribosomal RNA is filed under the name uncultured eukaryote. Its description in RNAcentral is "bacterial SSU rRNA". It matches the Rfam family "Eukaryotic small subunit ribosomal RNA", at positions 670 to 1426 of the family's 1831-position model. The record is from RNAcentral.